GACGAACGCUGGCGGCGUGCUUAACACAUGCAAGUCGAACGGAAAGGCCCUGCUUUUGUGGGGUGCUCGAGUGGCGAACGGGUGAGUAACACGUGAGUAACCUGCCCUUGACUUUGGGAUAACUUCAGGAAACUGGGGCUAAUACCGGAUAGGAGCUCCUGCUGCAUGGUGGGGGUUGGAAAGUUUCGGCGGUUGGGGAUGGACUCGCGGCUUAUCAGCUUGUUGGUGGGGUAGUGGCUUACCAAGGCUUUGACGGGUAGCCGGCCUGAGAGGGUGACCGGCCAAAUUGGGACUGGGAUACGGCCCAGACUCCUACGGGAGGCAGCAGUGGGGAAUAUUGCACAAUGGGCGGAAGCCUGAUGCAGCCACGCCGCGUGCGGGAUGACGGCCUUCGGGUUGUAAACCGCUUUCGCCUGUGACGAAGCGUGAGUGACGGUAAUGGGUAAAGAAGCACCGGCUAACUACGUG
This 468-nucleotide ribosomal RNA is filed under the name uncultured bacterium. Its description in RNAcentral is "partial 16S ribosomal RNA". It matches the Rfam family "Bacterial small subunit ribosomal RNA", at positions 28 to 507 of the family's 1533-position model. The record is from RNAcentral.